This 87-nucleotide transfer RNA is filed under the name Negombata magnifica. Its description in RNAcentral is "transfer RNA-Ser (GCU)". It matches the Rfam family "tRNA". From Rfam's summary of the family: Transfer RNA (tRNA) molecules are approximately 80 nucleotides in length. Their secondary structure includes four short double-helical elements and three loops (D, anti-codon, and T loops). RNAcentral also lists the same sequence under 1 other name. The record is from RNAcentral. Lineage: Eukaryota; Metazoa; Porifera; Demospongiae; Poecilosclerida; Latrunculiidae.
AAUGAGGUGGCUGAGUAGGUGAAAGCGGCAGUGUGCUAAACUGUAUAGAUAUUAUAUCUUAUGUGGGUUCAAAUCCCAUUCUCAUUG